UUCCUAGGAUAAUGAUCUCACUUAUUUUUAUUGGAGCUUACAAACCUUUGGAAAAAGAUGUAGUUGAUGCUGAAACUAAAUGCUUAAACUUAGAAUGAUGGGUAGAUUUAUGUUUGGAGAGCCACCACUUUAGAUGAAAAAAUAACUGUUUUCCAAUCACAUAGUACAGCCUGUCGGGAAAACACAUUUCUUUUGUCUGAUCUUUCCAGCAAUUUUUUGUUUCAAAUUUUUUUUCCCACACUUUAGAAUUUAGUUACUUUUCAGCAAAUUUAUAAACUUUGUAAACAUUCUACAAUGAUUAGUCACAAGUAUUGCAUCCAGGCCAUUUGAGACGUUGAUCAUUUUUCGAGACUUAAUAUAGUGACAGGUUCAUAAAUUGUCAAAUGGACCACUUGGUAUUUUUUUUUAAAUGUACAUCUUCUACAAUAUGAAAUUUUGAUAAAUAACUACCUAUGUGUAAAUUCUUGUCUUGGUCAUUAUUCAGUGUAUGAAUUAUUGUUCAGUAAUUUUUCAUUCUUUUUAUGUCAAGGUAAACAUUAUCAUACCAAACUGUUAAUAGCCUAUAUAGGUCAGCACUUAAAAAAUGCGGUUUAACCCAUUUCCAUAAAUUUGUAAAAUAGAACUCAUGUUGUUUUUUUUAUAAAUGUACAUCUUUUGAUAAAUUAUUAUAUGUAAUAAUACUGGUCUUGUUCAUUAUUCAUCAGUAAUUUUUCAUUCUUUAUGUCGGUUAAAUAUGCCAUACUUGUAUAAGCCUAUAUACACGUAGUUCAUCAACUGGAAUUUAUGAUUCUUACUUACUUUUAUUCUAUUCCUCGUAGAGAAUUUUAGUUCUUGCAUGUAACAAUACAUAGCCCAGGAGGCAGCCAGAAUAAAAUAAGAAUAUGCAGGGAAGUGUAAAAUCUUAGUCUUCCUAAAGAUAAGUUUUUUGUCAUGUGAAUUUCUCACUUAUAAUGAGUAAUAGAACUUCAAUUGAAAUAUGGGUUCCUUGAUACGUCUACAUGUCUGUCAUGCAAGAUUAAUUGACACCAACCUCAUUUCAUGGAUCAGUGAUAAAGGUCAAAGUCAACACGAUUAGCAGUGUGUCAAAUAUAUGUGAUGUAUGGAAUGAUUGACCUUGACCACAUUUUCAUGAUCCAUUGUAAGAUUUUGUGUUUUGGUAUUUUUGUCAAGUACUCUAGUAAUUGGUCAACUACAUCUAGUGUAUGGAUAAGAUUGUAAAGGUACAUAUAAAAAAAGAAGAUGUGGAAUGAUUGCCAAUGAGACAACUCUCCACAAGAGACCAAAAUAACACAGAAAUUAACAACUAUAGGGGUGCUAUAAACAGUUCGUAUAAAAUAACUA
Molecule: long non-coding RNA, 1341 nt
Filed under: Mytilus galloprovincialis (Mediterranean mussel)
Lineage: Eukaryota; Metazoa; Mollusca; Bivalvia; Mytilida; Mytilidae
Source: RNAcentral